This 1344-nucleotide long non-coding RNA is filed under the name Vigna radiata. RNAcentral's name for it is "long non-coding RNA (VRAD_LNC012841)". Lineage: Eukaryota; Viridiplantae; Streptophyta; Magnoliopsida; Fabales; Fabaceae. The record is from RNAcentral.
AGAAUGAAAGAGCAAACCCUAAAAAAGAUGAAAAGGAGCCUAAGCAUCCAAGAGAUCCUCUCCAGAGAGCAAAAUUAGGUAUGGCCGUCUUCCCCUGUCAAAAGAAUGACUCUGAAUUCGUAGUAGGGGUAUUUAUAGGUGAGGAGCGCGUCAAAAUCAGGCCCAAGUCCAGCGUGCCACCGCCGGGCGGUUUAAGUGUGCCGCCCGGCGGUUUCCCAUAACCUACCGCCACCGCCUGGCGGUUUCCCUCGCCACCGCCCGACGGCAAUCGCCAGCGCCCGACGAUUUCUCUCAGCUUGAGAUUCUGCCUACUCCUCGUCCUGGACCGCCCGACGGUUUAAGUGUGCCGCCGGGCGGUACGUCGACUCUUCAAAACUUCAUUUUUCUGUUCUUUUCUUGAGUCAAUGACCUGUAUCUUCAACUCCAUUCUUCACUUUUCUCAAAUUAGCUUCAAAAGAAUGCAAAACAAGCAUAAAAUCGCUAAAAACAGCUUUUGACUCUCUCCAGACUCAUUUAUUGAGUUUUGCUUGAUUCUAAGCUCGUUCGAAGUAGUAAAGGGUGUAAUUUGGUCCAAAUUGACAUAUGAAAAUCACUGUUUUUCAACCUUCAUCAACACCCCAAACUUAGAAUUUUGCUUGUCCUCAAGCAAAACAAAACAAAACAACAAACAAAUAAAACUUGGCUUUACACUGUUUCAUCCAAUGCCUCAACAAUCCCCAAGAUACAUGACAAAAUCACUCAAAUCAAUAUCUUUAGUGAAAUCCAAAAUAAGAUGCAUGCAUGCUUUCAAUCCAGAGAUUGCACAAUAGAUGUUAUACACUAUGAAUGAUCAAUCCACUAAGCAAAAAUGUACUCAUGAAAUUUAACAAUUCAUACCAAGCAAGUGUUUUACUCAAUCACUCAAGUGUUUAAGGUGACACUCUAACUCUCCAUUGUUCAUAAGUCACAUGAAACAAAAUUGCCAUUUAUCUCAAACAGUCAACAUCUUUACAUGCAAAUGCCAUCAAAAGGACUUUUCCAAGGCUUGUAAUGAGGUUGGGCUAACAAGAAAGAAUUGGUUUUUCUAGAAUGCAAAAUCCUUGAGUCAAGAGAGCCAUUAAAAUAUUCAACAAUUAAGCACAACUCUCUUCCUUACCAAUCUCUCUCAUUCCCAACUUUUCCCUUUUCUUUUUCUUUUGCAUCGAGCUCUUCUUCAUGCUUUUCUUCUUUGCUUUUCUUUUUCUCAUCAAUUUUUCUUUUCACAACAUUUGAGCUCAAUGCUUUUCACUUGCUUUUUCAACUUUCCCCCAACAACCCCAAACUUGAACCUUUUUAUCUCAUACAGUUAAGCUCAUUCCAACUCAA